Long non-coding RNA from Phyllostomus hastatus (greater spear-nosed bat), 4873 nucleotides. RefSeq lists it as uncharacterized. The transcript is spliced from 3 exons. NCBI's taxonomy places the organism in Eukaryota, Metazoa, Chordata, Mammalia, Chiroptera, Phyllostomidae. The record is from RefSeq and is a predicted model, not a curated record.
CUGUUUUUCCAGCAGCGGAACUUCUCGUCCUUGUUCAUGCUUCGUUCUCUCUCUACCCUGCCGUAGGAAACAUUCCACUUGAUUUUUUGUCUGCUGUUUCCCUCUCGGGCAACCUUCCACGGCAACCCGAGCCGGGGAAAGCUCACUUGGGCUUUUUUAAACGAGCGAUCGGAGGGAGCAUUUGGGGACUCAUUUGUCAGGGACAGUUGGAACAUCUUCUCCGGGUAAAGCCCACGAUUCCAACUGGGGACGCAGAGCCAGGGAUCAGCUGUGUGGUAUUCUCACAUCCACCCGACGUCAGCAUCGGGCCUGCGGCAUCUUCAGGAGCUCGUGGCGUGGGCUGGCGCCACGCGGGCGGGUCGCCCCGGGGAGAGCCGCUCACUUGCCAUGUGCUGACGAAGCUACGAUCCGGUGUGCUACCAAGACCUUUCUUCUAGAAAUAGCUGUCACCAGGACAGAGGGAUUGAAUAUUUGUUGGACAGUUGUAUGAAGAACCCCACGCUAAUGUGAACGGGCAAAAUUUAACAUGAAGACGUGUUAACUGGAACAGGAGAGUGGAGUGAUGAAGGAUUGCCUAAAAAGAAGUAAACUCUAAAGAAUACAGAAAUGGAAGAUAGGAGGAGGAGGAGUCCUUACACCCAGGACUCGGGUCAGGAGUCCAAGCUGGAAAGUCGGGGCGUUCCGUUCUCAUUUAACUGAGACCCAGAGAGGACUGCCGGCUCCACAGGAUGGCGCAGGAAAUCAGAGACGGUGCUCAGACUAAAAGUGACUCCGACGACAGCUACGUCAUCCCGGCUGCAGCAGGAAACAGAUGGCGCUCUUUGGAGAGAGAGAGGAGAAGGAGGUGAGCAAGAGAGGGAGAGGGAUCGGCUGCCUCUUGUACGUACCCCGACCAAGGACCGAACCGACAACCCAGGCAUGUACCCUGAUGGGGAGUCAAACCAGCAACCCUUUCGCUUUGGGACGACAUCCAACCCACGGAGCCACACCGGUCAGAGCUGCAGUUUAUAAACUUUUAUGUCCUUCUCCCGCAAAAUUGAAGUCUAGCAGCCUUGGCCGGGGACCCAUGCUUUCUAAAAACACUUGUACUGGGCUGGAGACCUGGCCUCCUAAGGGACGUUGAGAUAGCCCCUCCGAUCCACUGGGCAGGUGCCGGGAGAGGUGGCUGCGUUACCCGACGCCACCCAGCAGGUUGCAACCAAAUCAGACAAAGAGAGGACCUGGCCUGGCAGGUUUCCAGCAUUCACGAGAUGUGAAAAUUGGGGCAUUUCCUUUGACCUGGACAAUGGCGGGCUCGAGGACAGGCAGCCACUAGAAACACAUUCAGAAAACAACCCUUCGAACCUGUGUCUCUCCAGGGACGUCCUGGCCUCAGCGCUGUGCUUCUGGCCGCGCCGGGAAGGCCUCCACCUUCCUGAGUGGAGGGGACCUUCCAGGCCCCGGGCUCCUCCUGGACGCUGCCUCCCAGGCAACAAAGGAGGGUCUGGGGGCGCAUCCCUCCCUCUCCCUUCGUGGCUACCGCCUCCCACUCAAGGAGCUGCCUUCCAGUUGGCUGUCUCCAUGGUGAAGGUGAGAUGGUUUCCACGGCAACAGCCGGGGCGAGCUGGUUUCCUUGGUGACGAUGAGGAAGUUGAGGCACUUGGGCUCAGUGUAUCUGUCCUCUACACCAGUGCCCGCCCUGCAGAGGUCAUGCCCUGGGCUUCCCGGACUAGGGCCUUGUGUGACCAUAAUAACAGUUUUACAAGUGAUAGACUCUACCCAGGCCAGUGGACCAGUGCUCUGCUUAGGCUCUGGGUCCAGGCUGACUUGGUUUGGGCACGUGACUUCACCGGUUGGGCUCUCAGUUGUCUCAUCUGUCCAAUGGGGCUAAUAAGAAGAUCAGCCUCGUAGAGUUGUGAAGAAGUAAAUGUGACAAUAAAUUUGAGCUUAUUAUUAGAUAGUAACUUUCAUCGUUAUUGUGCACUGCUAGCCGCUGUUAUUACAAUGCAGAAAGAGGAAUACAUUGGCUUCAAUGAGACCAUCGUAGCCAUGAGGAAGCAGGAGCCAGGGACAGUGCCUGCCUGCUGGAAUCCCAGCCUUGUUAAGAGGCAGGACUAGAGGGAGAAGCCAGACACUGGGACUCGAGGCCAGCCCUUUUUCCACUCCGCCUCCUCUUGCCCGGUGGAUACACCGGCCACUGCCCUUGAUCCCCUGCUCAAUCAGAGACCCGGGGAGCUAAGUGCCUAGGCCUCCCUCCUUCCCCACGCCGCUCUGGUUUGCACCGUGAGCCUAGACUAAGUCAACGCCAGCAGGAUUGUCAGAGCAAUCAGCGAGCACAAGGCAGGAAUGACAAAUUAAUUUAGGGAGGACGUCCCAUCUCAUAAAUGACCGAUGUCUAGAACGCUUCACUGUUUCCUUGAACGCAUCUGGCAUCGCGUGGCCUCUGGCGGCUUUCCCGAACCACCUAGUGUUUGAAUUACUAAGGUGCUGCUUGUGGGACCUAUGCGUUAUUUAGGAAGUGAUACAUCAUUCUGGGAACACAACUGCUUUAGGACCGACCAGCCUGGGAAUCAAAGCCUACGUUCCAUUACAUACCAGCGAUGUGGUCUCGGAUGAGCUUGUUAACCUCCCCGGCAUCCGUUUUCUGAUCUGUGAAAACGCCUCCUGCAAAAUUCGGCGUGAAGUUUAGAGAUAAAACACUUGGGACGUGAAAGUCACUGGACAACUGGUAGCCUCUCGUUGCACACAGAUGGUCGCCUCCCACUUCAAGCUUGUUGUGUUUUCACCUCCCUUGUUGGUCCUCGUGGGAGUGUCUGAUCCAUGAAGGCCAGACUGUGCCUCAGAGGGGGCCGCACCAAAGUGAGCUCCGGAGAAGUGUGCUGGCGUGGGCACAGGCUCCCGGCCGCCUCGUCGGGGGCCUGAGGACUGCAGCCUGCCGCGGGAGCAUCACGAUCUAGGCCAGAGAGCAAAGGGACCGCCCAGCUAACUCUGCCCCAGCGCGCUCUCCAAGGCCGGCCGGGAGUGCUCACUCUGGUCUGGGGGCUGUCGAUCCGGUCCGCAGGGUGGGCCCUGUCCGCGGGUUCGGACUCCAGGGCCCUCCCCAGUACCCUCGCCUAAUUGUGUCAGAAGUUAAUAUCCAACUAAAACCUGCCAAUAGAAUUGUAUGUGCCAGAAAUUGAGGACUGAGUCCAAGGGAGAGUUCAGUCAGUAUCUUGAUAUGUUUAAAAUGUUUACACAAUAAAGCCUGGAUGGACAACUGGCUAUUUGCCACCACGAGGCACUGGAUCUGGAGAAAGACACAAAUGCAGGCAUGUACACACACGCAGAAACAAACACACACGCACCUGCACAUGCACACGUGCAUGUAUGUUCACACGUGUGUGUAUACACACAUGCAGGCUGAUGCACAGAUGCAGAGUUCCCAGAUCGUGUGUCUGCCCCCUUUCUGGUCCUGGCAACAUUUAUGACCUUAGGUGAGGGAAAUACGUUAAAGUACACCCCACCCCCACCCCCGCCGGCUUCUGCUGUUAGACUAGGUCAAGUUCACUGCUGCCACUUGCAACCAAAGAAUCCUAAGGGAUGCAUUCACUCCCUUUCAGCAGGAGGGCGGGCAGACGGCAGGCUGUGAUACCCCUGAAGGAAUUCAGUUAACGGAGGUUCUAUUCCUCAGACUUUCCUUAAUAAUAAUAAUAAAGUAACGCCCACCUGCUGGGCAAAAGGGUCAUGAACUCUUCUCAUCUCACAUCCUCCUCCACAUAAACACCCACCACGGCAGACAGAUACCAACUGGAAGGGCCUCAGCAAUGGCAUUCACUGAGUUCUUGGCUCUCGCAGGCGCCUGAGGAGCUCACUCCCCUCUGGGGACAGAAGGGACUCGGGACGCCAAAGAUGAAAUGCAGCCGCGCACCGCCGGCCUGGGCAGCUUUCGGGCUGCGUCAGCUGCUGCGGACGAGGUGCGCGCAGUGUGUCCCUCUGUGCCGGAAGCGGUCCGGCGACGGCCGCCACAGCCAAUGAGAAGGUCGCAGAUCCCUGGGGUCGCCGCAGAAAAGCAGCCCCACUCACGGGCCCUGAGAAUUGUGGGUUCAGAAGCACCCUCGAGAACGCCCAGAGGACGACACCCCCAGAAGGCAGAGCCACACUGAGGACGGGGUCCCUGUGUGGCUUGGGGAAGAGGCGCCUUCGGGUGCAGGGCCGCUCCCCAGGAAGCGGGUGCCGGUGCAGGCUGGUCUCCCAGGAAGCAGGCUUUGAGGAGCGUUUAUGGACAGGAUGUUUGUUAAGGAGUGUCGCUGCAACCCUCACCUGGGAGGGGACAGGAAGGAAAGAGGGUUGGGCAGAGGGACAAGGUGAGGCCCAGCAAUACCCUCGCUGACCCUGCAGGGAACACUGGAGCCACGAUGACCUUCAUGGUUGCCUCCCUUUGGACAGACCUGGCCCAGCCUUCCUGCCUUCCCCACUGGACGCAGCCAGCCCAGGAAGGACCAGCCAGCCCCGGGCACUGAGCUUGUCUCAGGACAGCAUGCCCAGCUGCCUGGCAAGCAGGCCCUCCAGGCACGGGGGUCUUGGUGGCAAUUCUAAGCGUCCACCAACAGUAACCCCCUGCAGGAGGCAGAGCAGACACCAGUCGGAGGGAGCUGCAGCAAACCCGAUUCCAGCACAGCAUGCUGUGGGCACGGCCGCUCACCCUCUGAACCCGCAUCUGUGAGGCGUGUACCUAUGCCCACCCUCGCCCAACACUGGGUGAAUCCAGCCCCUGUCCUCACGAAGCAUGUACUCCAGCAGUCUAAACAGGGACACAGUGUCUGAGUCACCCAGGCCUGGGAGGCGUCAGCCUACAGAGGUGUGGGAACUUCGGGUUUAACUGAACUAAGAAAUAAAAUUUUAACAACUAGAGUUG